GGGGAUGAAAUAGUUUCGAUGAAAAAUGGUCUCAAAACAGGCAAGUCAAGGUGUCGGUUCCUUGUAAAACCCCGUUAGAAAUUGAUUUUUCUAAACGGGGUAAAACUGCCGACAAACAAAAUAAGCGCAAACUUAUUUGAAAAAGCCAGGAAUCUAGUGUUUGGCUGGGUUCCCGGUCCGCUAGCCAUUCCUGGUCCUGCUUUCGCUUAACGCGUAAGCCAUCCGGUUCGUUGACUCUCGAUAGACGAAGCCCGGGUGUCAUAUUAUCGAGAUGGGUAAUUUCUUUGUCUUGGGAGAAAUUACUGAAUAAAUUACUGAGCUCGGUUGGAAACAUUUUUGUCUAAUUUUGAGUUUCUAACCAAAAAAAUAAAUUAGACUAUUGCUUGCCCCGUUAGAUAUUUUAUCUAAAAAGGGGCAAAGCCUUGUUGGAUAAAGUUAUAUCUAACGGGGCUUGUAGAACUGUUUUGGGAAAUUUUUUAGACGCGGGAGCAAAACCCGCCAUCUCCACCU
Molecule: transfer-messenger RNA, 510 nt
Filed under: Parcubacteria group bacterium CG08_land_8_20_14_0_20_38_56
Lineage: Bacteria
Also listed under: 1 other name
Rfam family: transfer-messenger RNA
About the family: Bacterial tmRNA, also known as 10Sa RNA or SsrA, is named for its dual tRNA and mRNA-like properties.
Source: RNAcentral